UUUUCCCUAGGUUCUUGGUUUGAGUUACACAUUAUAGAAGGGAACAGUCAAGCCGACUUUGUUUAUAAUGGAUUCGGAAUAGUACAUGUAACUCUUAUCUCCGAUCUCUUAGCUAUGUGACCGUGAGUUGACUCCACUGUUUUUGUGUAAUAGCACAAUCAUUUUUACAUAAACUAUAGGGAACACUGUUCUUAUUCAAUUCUGUGUAAUGAGAUGUUUAGUUAUGUUUUGCAAAAAAAAUAAAAGGAGAAACUUUUGUGGCUAUGGUUAUUUUGAUUUUUUAUAUCUAAUAAGUCAUUAGCAUUUAUACCUUAAGCAUAUUACUCUUUGAUAAGACGAAUAGAUGUCUGAAGUGGGAUCCUGGUUCUUGCUUUAGAUAACCCAUAUUGAGUACAUGAUAUAUGCUUGUGCUUAAAAUACAUCAACAAUGUUCAAUCUUUUUUCAUUUCCUUUUUCAGAUGCUUCACAGACAUGAUAAAUGAAACUCUGCAGGUUUUUCCACAAAUUGAAAUAAAAAAAGUCCCCCCCACUCUUCAUCAGAACUUUUUACCCUGUGAAUUAUCAUAGUUGACCAUUUAGAAAUUCUUGAUGCUAAUCCAUGACAUCCAUAGUAAUCAACAAUAUAUGGACUGCAGUAUGGCAAACUUUCCCUAGACUGUUCCCUAUUCUCCUCCUGGAAGUGAAAAGCAUUUGCUUUUCUUUCAGCCAUUAUCAUUGGCACUGAGGACUCCAUCCAUCUUUUCUUGUCAGCCAUUAUCCAAAGCAUAGAGACAUAUCUCACUCAUGCACACACCUUCAAUAGAAGCCAUACGCAAAUCUGCAAAAUGCAUAUUUUUCCACUGAGAGUGCCUUGUAAAGAAGUCCUUUUGGUGUUAGUUGAACCACGUAAAAGUAUCAUUCCGUGUGUCUUUAUCGAGUACUAGGAUGACUUAUGCCAUCAUGCAGUGCAUAUCUGAUUUACCGAUGAUGCCACUAAUAGCAUGUCUGCAGUGUUUUAGAUAGCAUGUAUCGAAAGUGCAGUGGUGAAGUUUUUUUACUGACGGUAGCAGAUAGCAGCAAUAUACCUAGCAGAACAUGGCCAUUAAUAUUUCAAAAUUACAUAUAUCAACUAAUUAAUAAAUCAGUUUAAGUAAAAUAAUCAAUUUUCUUGUGGUUGCAUAUUUUUGUGCAUUGCAUUCAUAGUUUGUUGACUGUUAUUGUAUAGUGCAUGGACAGUGAAUUCAAAAUGGAAUGCAGCUAACAUGUAACGUAUGAUCACAUCAAGGCGUAGCCAAGUUCCAAUGCAAACUUUAUGCUUUAGGUAAGCUGCAGGUCGAUGCAGCAGUCACCUCCUCUCUGUUAUAGCUGUAUAUUGGAAACAGUCUAUCUAUCUUGGAGUUUUGAUUAUUUGCUUUUAGAAGCAUGUUUCCUUUUCUUGGUUCAGUAUUGCUAUUACAUCAUCAUCAGAAAUAAACAUGAUUUAUCAUACUACGAAUGCCAUCUAUGUUAUAUUUCUGGCAUCCUCGUUGAUUGAUAAGUGAGUGAGAUUAAUGAUAUAUCCUUUUAAGCUCCUGGCCAUCAUUCUAUCACUCAUUACUGUAUUUUGUAUAUCAUUUAUGCCUGAUGGAGAAGAAAGCUGUGAGAUGACAGGUUUCUAGACAGUAGGGACCCAAUGAGUUUUUUAUUCUCAUGGCCUAACUUCGCCAUUGCCAUAGAAUUAAUUGUUUUGAUCUUGAAAGGUUCCCUAAGCACAAAGUUAAAUACCAUUUCCUGUGUGAGGGUCAUGAGGCUGACCCGGAUCGAGGGGAGAAAAGGCAUGUAAGAAGCUCUGAGGUGGAAGCCACCAACCUGUAUUGCUGUCCACUUUUUGGCGGGGCGGCCUCUCACCAACUUGUUAUCUUGGCAUCUAUCCUGCUUUUGGAAGGCUCCCUAUACACUGGACACUGCUCUAUUCUACUAAUGGAGAGCCCAAUCGUUCUUCCCAUUUUCUCAUCCUGCUGCCAUUGUUCUGUUUGAGCGUUUGUCUUUUGUGCUACUUUCAUCUGUCUCUGUCACUUGCUGUAGUCUCUGACCAAGUAACUGGCACCAAGAGCUCAUCUUCCUCGCUUCUCUGGAUGUGGCAGAAUGUACUAACUUUAGGACUGAUCAGUCAUCAUGGGUGUGAUGAUAAUUUCAGGUUUUAUUUUCAUUUUUUCAUGUUAACGUUCAUCAAAUGCAUUACCUAAGUCAAGUCGUUUUCUCAGGUAUGUGCAUCUGGAAUCCUUUGGACUCUCCAUUCUUUUGAGAACAUGCCAUGUACGUAUUUUAUUGAGAAUGAGAGAGUUUACAACACACCGCACCACAGACAGACACAAUGUGAAUCUACGAACACUAAGGAGAUAUGUGCAUCUGGAAUCCUUUGGACCCUCCAUCUUGUUAUGAAGAAAAAAAAUAAUCUUCCGAAGCUUUAUUUUUAUUGAGGAUUCAUAUUGUGCAUAUGUGCAAAAAAAUAAGUUGUCUAUCAUCUUGACCAUCAACAGUCUGAAGAUAGCAAUUCUGGUCUUAUGAUGAUGGUGACCACCACAAGGUGAUGGACCAAGCAGUUCGUUCCAGAAACUCUAUUUGACAAGAAAUGUGAUCCCGGUGACGACAGCAGAUGUUGACUGCGACGCAGCCGGAGCCGAAACCACCACCCGUUUCGCAUGAUUUGGUAUCACCACAUAGCACACACACUACACUAGGUGGAGCCUAGGGAGGGAGCCAAAGGUAAUGGAGCUAUCAAAAGCAGCAUGCACUGGGCAAUCCAUGGACAGAAAACUAAGGUUGCUUUGGCCUGGUGUGCUGUGAGGUUAGCACACGGUGAGCUCAUGGCAACACUUGUCCUGCCAUUGGGAGUAGUGGAGGUACGGUAGGAACGAUAUCCUUGUGGGCAUGGCUCAUGCUGGAGUUGUUUAUGGUGAACAGUGGAUUCUAGUCACGGAAGUCAGCCAUAACCUACCAAAUGUUAGGGCCUGACCUUGACAUGAAAUGUUUUUGUACCUUAACGAUAACACAAGUAAUGACAAACUAUAGCUGAGAUGUUUCUUCCCGCUUGUCUGGCCCUCGAGUCCAAAAGUAGCAUUGUUGCAUCGACAGGGUUGCAAUGUUUGUGCCUAGUGAUGUCAUUGUGUAGGUUCCAAGUGACGCAUUUUGCUGCUGUUUUGUUAAACUACACCUACAGGCAGCGUCAGAAAGCUAGCUAUGCGUGCUGUCAUGUGUAUUUGAAUCGAGAUUAUCCGGCGUCAUGAGCUGUUGGAUUAAUUCGGUUGUAUUUGUUU
Molecule: long non-coding RNA, 3275 nt
Organism: Panicum virgatum (switchgrass)
Lineage: Eukaryota; Viridiplantae; Streptophyta; Magnoliopsida; Poales; Poaceae
Exons: 5
Source: RefSeq, a predicted model, not a curated record